UACAAGGCAGCAGUGGGGAAUAUUGCACAAUGGGCGCAAGCCUGAUGCAGCCAUGCCGCGUGUAUGAAAAAGGCCUUCGGGUUGUAAAGUACUUUCAGUCGUGAGGAAGGUGUUAAGGUUAAUAACCUUAGCAAUUGACGUUAGCGACAGAAGAAGCACCGGCUAACUCCGUGCCAGCAGCCGCGGUAAUACGGAGGGUGCGAGCGUUAAUCGGAAUUACUGGGCGUAAAGGGCACGCAGGCGGUUAAUUAAGUUGGAUGUGAAAUCCCCGGGCUUAACCUGGGAAUGGCAUUCAAGACUGGUUAGCUAGAGUCUUGUAGAGGGGGUAGAAUUCCAUGUGUAGCGGUGAAAUGCGUAGAGAUGUGGAGGAAUACCGGUGGCGAAGGCGGCCCCUGGACAAAGACUGACGCUCAUGUGCGAAAGCGUGGGGAGCAAACAGGGAUUAGAUACC
This 451-nucleotide ribosomal RNA is filed under the name uncultured bacterium. RNAcentral's name for it is "bacterial SSU rRNA". It matches the Rfam family "Bacterial small subunit ribosomal RNA", at positions 342 to 786 of the family's 1533-position model. The record is from RNAcentral.